This 253-nucleotide ribosomal RNA is filed under the name uncultured bacterium. Its description in RNAcentral is "partial 16S ribosomal RNA". It matches the Rfam family "Bacterial small subunit ribosomal RNA", at positions 524 to 776 of the family's 1533-position model. The record is from RNAcentral.
UACGGAGGGUGCAAGCGUUGUCCGGAAUUAUUGGGCGUAAAGAGCUCGUAGGCGGUUUGUCGCGUCUGCUGUGAAAACGCGAGGCUCAACCUCGCGCCUGCAGUGGGUACGGGCAGACUGGAGUGCGGUAGGGGAGAUUGGAAUUCCUGGUGUAGCGGUGGAAUGCGCAGAUAUCAGGAGGAACACCGAUGGCGAAGGCAGAUCUCUGGGCCGUAACUGACGCUGAGGAGCGAAAGCGUGGGGAGCGAACAGG